RNAcentral lists this ribosomal RNA (443 nucleotides) under uncultured microorganism. RNAcentral's name for it is "bacterial SSU rRNA". It matches the Rfam family "Bacterial small subunit ribosomal RNA", at positions 9 to 441 of the family's 1533-position model. The record is from RNAcentral.
GAGUUUGAUCAUGGCUCAGGAUGAACGCUGGCGGCGUGCCUAAUACAUGCAAGUCGAACGAACAGAUAAGGAGCUUGCUCCUUUGACGUUAGCGGCGGACGGGUGAGUAACACGUGGGUAACCUACCUAUAAGACUGGAAUAACUCCGGGAAACCGGGGCUGAUGCCGGAUAACAUGUUGAACCGCAUGGUUCUACAGUGAAAGACGGUCUUGCUGUCACUUAUAGAUGGACCCGCGCCGUAUUAGCUAGUUGGUGGGUAACGGCCUACCAAGGCGACGAUACGUAGCCGACCUGAGAGGGUGAUCGGCCACACUGGAACUGAGACACGGUCCAGACUCCUACGGGAGGCAGCAGGUAGGGAAUCUUCCGCAAGUGGGCGAAAGCCUGACGGAGCAACGCCGCGUGAGUGAUGAAGGUCUUGGAUCGUAAAGCUCUGUUGUUA